GGCAUCAGUGUUGAAAGCGGUUUUCCACUCGUCUUGUUCUCUUAUCCUGACCAGGUUAUAUCCCCCUUUCUCCCCCCCCCCCGAUAUCCAGUUUAGUAAGCCACUUGGAACCUUUUAAGCGGUCAAACCGUUCCAGGAUGAGCGGAGUUGGAUAAACAUUCCGCACAGUUAUCGUGUUCAGACCCUAUAGUCUAUACAGGGUCUGAGAUCAC
Molecule: non-coding RNA, 212 nt
Organism: Pelobates cultripes (western spadefoot toad)
Lineage: Eukaryota; Metazoa; Chordata; Amphibia; Anura; Pelobatidae
Source: the annotation of a GenBank genome assembly